GAUGAACGCUGGCGGCGUGCCUAAUACAUGCAAGUCGAGCGAACGGACGAGAAGCUUGCUUCUCUGAUGUUAGCGGCGGACGGGUGAGUAACACGUGGAUAACCUACCUAUAAGACUGGGAUAACUUCGGGAAACGGAGCCAAUACCGGAUAAUAUUUUUGAACGGCAGGUUUCAAAGUGAAAAAAGGUCUUGCUUGUAACUAUUAGUGGAUCCGCGCUGCAUUAGCUAGUUGGUAAGGUAACGGCUUACCAAGGCAACGAUGCAUAGCCGACCUGAGAGGGUGAUCGGCCACACUGGAACUGAGACACGGUCCAGACUCCUACGGGAGGCAGCAGUAGGGAAUCUUCCGCAAUGGGCGAAAGCCUGACGGAGCAACGCCGCGUGAAUGAUGAAGGUCUUCGGAUCGUAAAACUCUGUUAUUAGGGAAGAACAUAUGUGUAAGUAACUGUGCACAUCUUGACGGUACCUAAUCAGAAAGCCACGGCUAACUACGUG
This 496-nucleotide ribosomal RNA is filed under the name uncultured bacterium. RNAcentral's name for it is "partial 16S ribosomal RNA". It matches the Rfam family "Bacterial small subunit ribosomal RNA", at positions 28 to 507 of the family's 1533-position model. The record is from RNAcentral.